RNAcentral lists this ribosomal RNA (800 nucleotides) under Bacillus sp. PDIMaHW1. RNAcentral's name for it is "bacterial SSU rRNA". It matches the Rfam family "Bacterial small subunit ribosomal RNA", at positions 668 to 1463 of the family's 1533-position model. Lineage: Bacteria; Bacillati; Bacillota; Bacilli; Caryophanales; Bacillaceae. The record is from RNAcentral.
UUCACGUGCAGCGGAAAUGUGUAAAGAGAUGUAGGAGGAACAUCUGUAGUGAUGGAGUCUCUUUUCUGUAUAAAAGACUAUGAGGCGAGAACGUGGGGGGAGCACACAAUAUUAUAUACCCGUUGUUGUACAUCGUCGCAAACCUUUGAGUGAUAAGUGUUAGAGUGUUUCCGCCUUUUAGUGCUGCAACAAACGCAUUAAGCACUGCCCCUGGGGAGUAGGGCCGCAAGGCUGAAACUCAAAGGAAUUGAAGGGGGCCCGCACCAGCGGUGGAGCAUGUGGUUUAAUUUGAAGCAAUGCGAAGAACAUUACCAGGUCUUGACAUGUCAUGACAACCAUACAGAUAGGAUCUUCCCGUUCGGGGGACGGGACGAGCACACGUGCAUGGUAGUGGUGAGGUCAGGUCGUGAGAUGAUGGGUUAAGUCCAGCAACGAGCGCAACCCAACCUUUUAGUUUAGAGCAUUCAGUUGGGCACUCUAAGGUGACUGCCGGUGACAAACCGGAGGAAGGUGGGGAUGACGUCAAAUCAUCAUGCCCCUUAUGACUUGGGCUACACACGUGAUACAAUGGAUGGUACAAAGGGCUGCGAACCCGCGAGGUUAAGCGAAUCCCAUAAAACCAUUCUCAGUUCGGAUUGCAGUCUGCAACUCGCCUGCAUGAAGCCGGAAUCGCUAGUAAUCGCGGAUCAGCAUGCCGCGGUGAAUACGUUCCCGGGCCUUGUACACACCGCCCGUCACACCAUGAGAGUUUGUAACACCAGAAGUAGGUGGGGUAACCAUUGGAGCCAGCCGCCAAGUGA